AUUGAACGCUGGCGGCAUGCUUUACACAUGCAAGUCGAACGGCAGCGCGGGCUUCGGCCUGGCGGCGAGUGGCGAACGGGUGAGUAAUGCAUCGGAACGUGCCCAGUAGUGGGGGAUAGCCCGGCGAAAGCCGGAUUAAUACCGCAUACGACCUGAGGGUGAAAGCGGGGGACCGAAAGGCCUCGCGCUAUUGGAGCGGCCGAUGUCGGAUUAGCUAGUUGGUGGGGUAAAGGCUUACCAAGCGGACGAUCCGUAGCUGGUCUGAGAGGACGACCAGCCACACUGGGACUGAGACACGGCCCAGACUCCUACGGGAGGCAGCAGUGGGGAAUUUUGGACAAUGGGGGCAACCCUGAUCCAGCCAUGCCGCGUGCGGGAAGAAGGCCUUCGGGUUGUAAACCGCUUUUGUUCGGGAAGAAAUCCUCUGGGCUAAUACCCCGGGGGGAUGACGGUACCGGAAGAAUAAGCACCGGCUAACUACGUG
RNAcentral lists this ribosomal RNA (484 nucleotides) under uncultured bacterium. RNAcentral describes it as "partial 16S ribosomal RNA". It matches the Rfam family "Bacterial small subunit ribosomal RNA", at positions 28 to 507 of the family's 1533-position model. The record is from RNAcentral.